Molecule: ribosomal RNA, 450 nt
Filed under: uncultured bacterium
Lineage: Bacteria
Description: partial 16S ribosomal RNA
Rfam family: Bacterial small subunit ribosomal RNA
Source: RNAcentral
CCUACGGGGGGCUGCAGUGGGGAAUAUUGGACAAUGGGCGCAAGCCUGAUCCAGCAAUGCCGCGUGUGUGAAGAAGGCCUGCGGGUUGUAAAGCACUUUAAGCAGGAAAGAAGGGGUGAAAGUUAAUACCUUUCAUCAUUGACGUUACCUGCAGAAUAAGCACCGACUAACUCCGUGCCAGCAGCCGCGGUAAUACGGAGGGUGCGAACGUUACUCGGAAUUACCGGAGGUAGAGCGAUCAUAGGCUGGUGAAAGCCCUGGGCUUAACCUGGGAACUGCGGUGGAUACUGUCGGGCUAGAGUGUGGUAGAGGGGAGUGGAAUUUCCGGUGUAGCAGUGAAAUGCGUAGAGAUCGGAAGGAACACCAGUGGCGAAGGCGGCUCCCUGGACUAACACUGACGCUGAGGUGCGAAAGCGUGGGGAGCAAACAGGAUUAGAUACCCCAGUAGUC